This 1306-nucleotide ribosomal RNA is filed under the name uncultured bacterium. Its description in RNAcentral is "bacterial SSU rRNA". It matches the Rfam family "Bacterial small subunit ribosomal RNA", at positions 28 to 1381 of the family's 1533-position model. The record is from RNAcentral.
AACGUACGCUGGCGGCACGCCUAACACAUGCAAGUCGAACGAAGUAGCAAUACUUAGUGGCAGACGGGUGAGUAACAUGUGGGUAUCUGCCCUUUGGCCUGGAAUAACACGAGGAAACUUGUGCUAAUACCGGAUAAGUCUUUACGGAGAAAGCUUUAUGCACCAUUGGAUGAGCCCGCACUUGAUUAGUUUGUUGGUGGGGUAAUGGCCUACCAAGACUGUGAUCAAUAGCUGAUUUGAGAGGAUGAUCAGCCACAUUGGGACUGAGACACGGCCCAAACUCCUACGGGAGGCAGCAGUGGGGAAUCUUGCACAAUGGAGGAAACUCUGAUGCAGCGAUGCCGCGUGAGUGAAGAAGGCCCUUGGGUUGUAAAGCUCUUUCGUCGGGGAAGAAAAUGACUGUACCCGAAUAAGAAGGUCCGGCUAACUUCGUGCCAGCAGCCGCGGUAAUACGAAGGGACCUAGCGUAGUUCGGAAUUACUGGGCUUAAAGAGUUCGUAGGUGGUUGAAAAAGUUAGUGGUGAAAUCCCAGAGCUUAACUCUGGAACUGCCAUUAAAACUUUUCAGCUAGAGUAUGAUAGAGGAAAGCAGAAUUUCUAGUGUAGAGGUGAAAUUCGUAGAUAUUAGAAAGAAUACCAAUUGCGAAGGCAGCUUUCUGGAUCAUUACUGACACUGAGGAACGAAAGCAUGGGUAGCGAAGAGGAUUAGAUACCCUCGUAGUCCAUGCCGUAAACGAUGUGUGUUAGACGUUGGAAAUUUAUUUUCAGUGUCGCAGCGAAAGCGAUAAACACACCGCCUGGGGAGUACGACCGCAAGGUUAAAACUCAAAUGAAUUGACGGGGACCCGCACAAGUAGUGGAGCAUGUGGUUUAAUUCGAAGAUACGCGCAGAACCUUACCAACACUUGACAUGUUCGUCGCGACUCUAAGAGAUUAGAGUUUUCGGUUCGGCCGGACGAAACACAGGUGCUGCAUGGCUGUCGUCAGCUCGUGUCGUGAGAUGUUGGGUUAAGUCCCGCAACGAGCGCAACCCUCACUUUUAGUUGCCAUCAUUAAGUUGGGCACUCUGAAAGAACUGCCAGUGAUAAGCUGGAGGAAGGUGGGGAUGACGUCAAGUCCUCAUGGCCCUUACGUGUUGGGCUACACACGUGCUACAGUGGUAUCUACAACAGGAAGCAAGACUGCGAGGUCAAGCAAAUCCUUAAAAGAUACCUCAGUUCGGAUUGCACUCUGCAACUCGAGUGCAUGAAGCUGGAAUUACUAGUAAUCGUGGAUCAGCGUGCCACGGUGAAUGCGUUCCCGGGUCU